GUGAGAGUCAUCUGGCUUCAACAUCACCCCAUUGAUCACCAGGGUUGUUUGGGCUGAUCUGUCUGGCUAGGCAGGUGCCCCUUCCAACCUUACUGUUCCAUGUGCAUCCCUCCUGAAGCCGAGAGCUUAAUCGAAGGGAGCAACCUUCCCAGAUAGAGAGGACUGUUGGUCAUCCAGGUCAUCAAACUACUACAACUGGUAGUUGUGCUACUGUGCUAGAACCUCCAGAUAAGUUCUCAGUAUAAACCAGUGAUUCUGAGAAACAGUUAUAUUAAAAAUAAAUUAUUCUCCUGAUUAAUACAUUGCUUUAAAUAAAGGUUCUGAUGUACAUU
This 332-nucleotide small nuclear RNA is filed under the name Macaca nemestrina (pig-tailed macaque). RNAcentral's name for it is "7SK RNA (ENSMNEG00000010727.1)". It matches the Rfam family "7SK RNA". From Rfam's summary of the family: 7SK was discovered as an abundant small nuclear RNA in the mid-70s but a possible function has only recently been suggested. The record is from Rfam by way of RNAcentral. Lineage: Eukaryota; Metazoa; Chordata; Mammalia; Primates; Cercopithecidae.